RNAcentral lists this ribosomal RNA (1461 nucleotides) under metagenome. RNAcentral's name for it is "bacterial LSU rRNA". It matches the Rfam family "Bacterial large subunit ribosomal RNA", at positions 1276 to 2865 of the family's 2925-position model. The record is from RNAcentral.
CAGUGAUCAGAAGUGAGAAUGUUGACAUGAGUAGCGACAAACAGGGUGAGAGACCCUGUCGCCGAAAGUCCAAGGGUUCCUGCUUAAAGCUAAUCUGAGCAAGGUAAGCCGGCCCCUAAGGCGAGGCCGAAAGGCGUAGUCGAUGGGAACCAGGUUAAUAUUCCUGGGCCAGGAGAUGGUGACGGAUCACAGAGGUAGUUCAUCCUUAUCGGAUUGAAUGGGCUGCUGAGUGGUUCCUGGAAAUAGCCCUCCACAAGACCGUACCCUAAACCGACACAGGUGGACUGGUAGAGAAUACCAAGGCGCUUGAGAGAACCACAUUUAAGGAACUCGGCAAAAUACCUCCGUAAGUUCGCGAGAAGGAGGCCCCGUUUGUACGCAAGUAUGGGCGGGGGGCACAAACCAGGGGGUGGCGACUGUUUACUAAAAACACAGGGCUCUGCGAAGCCGUAAGGCGACGUAUAGGGUCUGACGCCUGCCCGGUGCCGGAAGGUUAAAAGGAGAUGUGCAAGCAUUGAAUUGAAGCCCCGGUAAACGGCGGCCGUAACAAUAACGGUCCUAAGGUAGCGAAAUUCCUUGUCGGGUAAGUUCCGACCUGCACGAAUGGCGUAACGACUUCCCCGCUGUCUCAAAUGUGGACUCAGCGAAAUUGAAUUGUCUGUGAAGAUGCAGACUUCCCGCGGUUAGACGGAAAGACCCCAUGCACCUUUACUAUAGCUUCGCACUGGCAUCAGGAUUGUGAUGUGCAGGAUAGGUGGUAGGCAUUGAAGCGGGAGCGCUAGUUCCUGUGGAGCCAUCCUUGAGAUACCACCCUUCGCACUCUUGAUGUCUAACCGCGGCCCGUUAUCCGGGUCCGGGACCCUGCGUGGUGGGUAGUUUGACUGGGGCGGUCGCCUCCCAAAAAGUAACGGAGGCGCGCGAAGGUUGGCUCAGAGCAGUCGGAAAUCGCUCGUUGAGUGCAAUGGCAGAAGCCAGCCUGACUGCAAGACUGACAAGUCGAGCAGAGACGAAAGUCGGCCAUAGUGAUCCGGUGGUCCCGAGUGGAAGGGCCAUCGCUCAACGGAUAAAAGGUACGCUGGGGAUAACAGGCUGAUGAUGCCCAAGAGUCCAUAUCGACGGCAUCGUUUGGCACCUCGAUGUCGGCUCAUCUCAUCCUGGGGCUGGAGCAGGUCCCAAGGGUACGGCUGUUCGCCGUUUAAAGAGGUACGUGAGCUGGGUUUAGAACGUCGUGAGACAGUUCGGUCCCUAUCUGCCGUGGGUGUAGGAUACUUGAGAGGAGUUGCCCCUAGUACGAGAGGACCGGGGUGAACGUUCCACUGGUGGACCAGUUGUCGUGCCAACGGCAGUGCUGGGUAGCUAUGAACGGACAGGAUAAACGCUGAAGGCAUCUAAGCGUGAAGCCCCCCUCAAAACAAGGUAUCCCUUGAGAGCCGUGGAAGACCACCACGUCGAUAGGCCGGA